Molecule: ribosomal RNA, 980 nt
Filed under: Gammarus nipponensis
Lineage: Eukaryota; Metazoa; Arthropoda; Malacostraca; Amphipoda; Gammaridae
Description: 16S ribosomal RNA
Rfam family: Bacterial large subunit ribosomal RNA (bases 607-931)
Source: RNAcentral
UAUGUCGAUAAAAUAAGUUAUAGGUUAAUAAAGUGUAUGAGCUGUACCUUUUGUAUCAGGGGACUUUAAAAACAAAAAUAGGAUUUGGUCGAGUCAACUAAAUCUUUAUGGUGACAUUGUGGUGGUAUUUGCUGUUUGGAUAGCAUAAGAGGUGAAAAGUGUACGGUAGUUGUGGUAUCUGAUUGUUUUGAGUAUUAAGGGGACAAACUCUUAUAACUCUAGAUUUAGUAAAAUUAAAAAAAGCUAGGCUUUAGGUUAGCUAUGCGUCUAGAUUGUUUUAAAUAAUUUUAUUUACCGUAAGAAAAAUAGAAUUAACUGACAAUAAUGAUAGAUGGUAAAAUUUAAAUAUAAUGAAGUUAUUGAAUAAUUAAAGGGGCGUAGAAGUAACUCAAAAUUAUCUAGAUAGUUUAACAAAAACAAUUUUGUUUGAGGUUUGAAGAAUAAGACCUGCCCAGUGCUUUGUAAAUGGCUGCAGUAUUUUGACUGUGCUAAGGUAGCAUAAUCAUUUGUUUUUUAAUUGAAAACUGGAAUGAAUGGUAAAACUAGUAUAUUUAGUCUGUUUGUCUAAAAAGAAAGUUAAGUAAAAGUAAGAAUUCUUUUUUAUUACUAGGGGACGAUAAGACCCUAAAAGCUUAAUGAAUAGGUUGUUAGUGGUGGUAUAAAGAAGUUUGUUUUACUGGGGCGGUAGGUAUAUUUAAACUAUAAUGUUUAUUGAAUGAUCCUGCGUAUGUGGAUAAAAUGGAGAAGUUACUCUAGGGAUAACAGUACAAUUAUUUUGGAGAGAUCUUAUCGAUAAAGAAGCUUGUAACCUCGAUGUUGAAUUAGUAAGUCUACGUGGAGCAGUAAAUACGUAAGAAGGUUUGUUCAACCUUUAAAUUAUUACAUGAUUUGAGUUCAAACCGGUUUAAGCCAGGUUGGAUUUUAUCUCUAGCUAAAAAAUUUAUUUUCUAGUACGAAAGGGGCGGAGGUAGUUUGUUAGC